RNAcentral lists this ribosomal RNA (375 nucleotides) under uncultured bacterium. RNAcentral describes it as "bacterial SSU rRNA". It matches the Rfam family "Bacterial small subunit ribosomal RNA", at positions 524 to 898 of the family's 1533-position model. The record is from RNAcentral.
UACGGAGGGUGCAAGCGUUAAUCGGAAUUACUGGGCGUAAAGCGCACGCAGGCGGUCUGUCAAGUCGGAUGUGAAAUCCCCGGGCUCAACCUGGGAACUGCAUCCGAAACUGGCAGGCUAGAGUCUUGUAGAGGGGGGUAGAAUUCCAGGUGUAGCGGUGAAAUGCGUAGAGAUCUGGAGGAAGACCGGUGGCGAAGGCGGCCCCCUGGACAAAGACUGACGCUCAGGUGCGAAAGCGUGGGGAGCAAACAGGAUUAGAUCCCCUGGUUGUCCCCGCCGUAAACGAUGUCGACUUGGAGGUUGUGCCCUUGAGGCAUGGCUUCCGGAGCUAACGCGUUAAGUCGACCGCCUGGGGAGUACGGCCGCAAGGUUAAA